AUACGGAGGGUGCAAGCGUUACUCGGAAUCACUGGGCGUAAAGCGCGCGCAGGCGGCUAUUUAAGUUGGAUGUGAAAGCCUACGGCUCAACCGUAGAACUGCAUCCAAAACUAUUUAGCUAGAGUGUGGGAGAGGAAGAUGGAAUUAGUUGUGUAGGGGUAAAAUCCGUAGAGAUAACUAGGAAUACCAAAAGCGAAGGCAACUUACUGGAACAGCACUGACGCUGAGGCGCGAAAGCGUGGGGAGCAAACAGGAUUAGAAACCCCAGUAGUCC
This 274-nucleotide ribosomal RNA is filed under the name uncultured bacterium. Its description in RNAcentral is "partial 16S ribosomal RNA". It matches the Rfam family "Bacterial small subunit ribosomal RNA", at positions 523 to 796 of the family's 1533-position model. The record is from RNAcentral.